This 216-nucleotide ribosomal RNA is filed under the name Glomeromycotina sp. RNAcentral's name for it is "partial small subunit ribosomal RNA". The stretch from base 40 to 216 matches the Rfam family "Eukaryotic small subunit ribosomal RNA", at positions 686 to 864 of the family's 1831-position model. Lineage: Eukaryota; Fungi; Glomeromycota. The record is from RNAcentral.
GGGUCAGUAGGUUGGUCGUGCCACCGGUACGUACUGGUCUCACUGAUUCCUCCUUCCUGAAGAACCGUAAUGCCAUUAAUUUGGUGUUGCGGGGAAACAGGACUGUUACUUUGAAAAAAUUAGAGUGUAUAAAGCAAGCUAACGCUUGAAUACAUUAGCAUAGAAUAAUGAAAUAGGACGAUCGAUCCUAUUUUGUUGGUUUCUAGGAUUGACGUA